CCUUGUACACACCGCCCGUCAUACCAUGGGAGUCAGUUGCUCCAGAAGUGGCUUACCCAACCCGCAAGGGAGGGUGGUCCCCAAGGAGUGGCUGGUAACUGGGGUG
This 106-nucleotide ribosomal RNA is filed under the name uncultured bacterium. RNAcentral describes it as "partial 16S ribosomal RNA". It matches the Rfam family "Bacterial small subunit ribosomal RNA", at positions 1379 to 1482 of the family's 1533-position model. The record is from RNAcentral.